AUUGUGAUCUCUACCAUGAAAUUCUUGUCUCUGUUUGUGUGUCUUUUAAUCGCGCUAAUCGCAGUUAAGGCAGAUCCUUUAUCGCCGUCUUUUCAAAAAUGCCUGGAUGAAAUAAGUGAUGCGGAAUUGUGUGAAAAUUUCAAAGAUCAAUUCCCGGAAGAUGCACCUGCUGUUCCUCUCGAUGAAUUUACCUUCGAGGCGUAUUCUGGAUAAUUUAACUUCACUUUCGUUGAGUAAUUCCGACGAACGCGAAUUAAGCUGAAUAAUUUAUUGUGCACUAUUGCUUUAUAAGUUAAGCAAAUAAACAAAUUUGUUUUGAUGUAAUAUUUGAUUGGUUUCCAUCGAUUUGUGUUUUG
Molecule: long non-coding RNA, 356 nt
Filed under: Drosophila melanogaster (fruit fly)
Lineage: Eukaryota; Metazoa; Arthropoda; Insecta; Diptera; Drosophilidae
Description: long non-coding RNA:CR45207
Source: RNAcentral